GUGGGGAAUAUUGGACAAUGGGCGAAAGCCUGAUUCAGCCAUGCCGCGUGUGUGAAGAAGGUCUUCGGAUUGUAAAGCACUUUAAGUUGGGAGGAAGGGUAGUAACCUAAUACGUUGCUACUUUGACGUUACCGACAGAAUAAGCACCGGCUAACUUCGUGCCAGCAGCCGCGGUAAUACGAAGGGUGCAAGCGUUAAUCGGAAUUACUGGGCGUAAAGCGCGCGUAGGUGGUUCAGUAAGUUGGAAGUGAAAUCCCCGGGCUCAACCUGGGAACUGCUUUCAAAACUGCUGAGCUAGAGUACGGUAGAGGGUGGUGGAAUUUCCUGUGUAGCGGUGAAAUGCGUAGAUAUAGGAAGGAACACCAGUGGCGAAGGCGACCACCUGGACUGAUACUGACACUGAGGUGCGAAAGCGUGGGGAGCAAACAGGAUUAGAAACCCUGGUAGUCC
Molecule: ribosomal RNA, 450 nt
Filed under: uncultured bacterium
Lineage: Bacteria
Description: partial 16S ribosomal RNA
Rfam family: Bacterial small subunit ribosomal RNA
Source: RNAcentral